GAUGAACGCUGGCGGCGUGCCUAAUACAUGCAAGUCGAGCGAAUGGAUUAAGAGCUUGCUCUUAUGAAGUUAGCGGCGGACGGGUGAGUAACACGUGGGUAACCUGCCCAUAAGACUGGGAUAACUCCGGGAAACCGGGGCUAAUACCGGAUAACAUUUUGAACCGCAUGGUUCGAAAUUGAAAGGCGGCUUCGGCUGUCACUUAUGGAUGGACCCGCGUCGCAUUAGCUAGUUGGUGAGGUAACGGCUCACCAAGGCAACGAUGCGUAGCCGACCUGAGAGGGUGAUGGGCCACAGUGGGAGUGAGACACGGCCCAGACUCCUACGGGAGGCAGCAGUAGGGAAUCUUCCGCAAUGGACGAAAGUCUGACGGAGUAACGCCGCGUGAGUGAUGAAGGCUUUCGGGUCGUAAAACUCUGUUGUUAGGGAAGAACAAGUGCUAGUUGAAUAAGCUGGCACCUUGACGGUACCUAACCAGAAAGCCACGGCUAACUACGUGCCAGCCGCCGCCGCGG
RNAcentral lists this ribosomal RNA (515 nucleotides) under uncultured bacterium. RNAcentral's name for it is "partial 16S ribosomal RNA". It matches the Rfam family "Bacterial small subunit ribosomal RNA", at positions 28 to 523 of the family's 1533-position model. The record is from RNAcentral.